GGCAAGCUGGGAGCCUGAGCUCCGGCGGUAGCUGAUAAACACAUCUGGGUUCUCACAGCUGGACUUGCAGCCGCUGCAAGGCAGGGGUCAUCUCGAAGCUCUUCCUCUGUCAGACGCAGCAACAGAUCUCCAUCUAUCUGAUGCUCCUGGAGUCCGUCUUGCUAUUCCCUGCGUCCUGCCUGGCUUCAGUCACGUCUGACUCUUCGGUGACCCGAUCUGGGGUUUUCUAAGCAAAGAUACUGGAGUGGUUUGCCAUUAUCUACUCCAGCUCAUUU
Molecule: long non-coding RNA, 275 nt
Organism: Vombatus ursinus (common wombat)
Lineage: Eukaryota; Metazoa; Chordata; Mammalia; Diprotodontia; Vombatidae
Exons: 3
Source: RefSeq, a predicted model, not a curated record